GAUGAACCGUGCGAACGUUAUUCGGAAUCACUGGGCUUAAAGGGCGCGUAGGCGGGCAGGCAAGUCGAAGGUGAAAUCCCACGGCUCAACCGUGGAAGUGCCCCCGAUACUGCCUGUCUGGAGGGAGAUAGGGGCGUGCGGAACUUCCGGUGGAGCGGUGAAAUGCGUAGAUAUCGGAAGGAACACCGGUGGCGAAAGCGGCGCGCUGGAUCUCUUCUGACGCUGAGGCGCGAAAGCCAGGGGAGCGAACGGG
This 253-nucleotide ribosomal RNA is filed under the name uncultured bacterium. RNAcentral's name for it is "partial 16S ribosomal RNA". It matches the Rfam family "Bacterial small subunit ribosomal RNA", at positions 524 to 776 of the family's 1533-position model. The record is from RNAcentral.